RNAcentral lists this unclassified non-coding RNA (311 nucleotides) under Hevea brasiliensis (rubber tree). The record is from RNAcentral. Lineage: Eukaryota; Viridiplantae; Streptophyta; Magnoliopsida; Malpighiales; Euphorbiaceae.
GGAGUCUCCAGAAGCCCUGAAAGCUAAAGUUGCUGAGGCCAUGGAGGUGCUUAGAAGUGUUCAGCAACAGCAGCAGGUUAAUAAUCCAACUGAUCAUAUGGCCUCGCUGUCCCUAAAUGACUAAUCUUGUUUCUUAAGCGUUGCUGUUGCUAUUUUUGGAAUAUCUUUUCAACCUGUCUGGAGAGAGUUUUCAGAGCAGAACAAUUCUUGAAACGUUGUUUUGAGAGUAUUUUUGGGACGUUUCCCGAAUUUUUGCCCGUUACUCGAGUUCUUUUCUAGUUGAUAUUAAAUCUCAGUAUUGCAACUUAUAU